Myotis myotis is the source of this 1039-nucleotide long non-coding RNA. RefSeq lists it as uncharacterized. NCBI's taxonomy places the organism in Eukaryota, Metazoa, Chordata, Mammalia, Chiroptera, Vespertilionidae. The transcript has 3 exons. The record is from RefSeq and is a predicted model, not a curated record.
GUUGCCGUCACUACGGACAAUGACCUACAGAACUGACAACCCUUCGGCCUGCAUCACCACGCCUGCUUAGAAACUGGAUUAGGCAACUUUUGCAUUCCCUUGGCACUACGUUUUGGAACAUACAAACCAAUUCCAGGUAAAUGGAAUUGAUGUGAAAGGUAAACCAGCAAAGCUUUGAGAAGAUUAUACAUAGAGGAAGACAUCCUUAUGACCUUGGAAUAGACAAAAAAAAUCUUGAAUAAGACAUGGAAAGGAAAAGAUGGAUACAUUGAACUACAUUAAAAUUAUAAACUUCUGUUUAUCAAAAACAUUAUUUGAAAAGGCAAACCAUGGAAUGGAAGAAGAGAGUUGUCACACAUAAUUCUUAAAGAUCUCAAAUCCAGAAUAUUUAAAGAACCUUUACAAGCAAAAAGAUAAGGAAGACAGGCAACCCAAUAUGAGACUUGUUGAAGGCCAGAGACUUGAACAGACUCUCUCUCCUCCCUCACCAAGGAUAUGUAAGUGGCCACUGCAUUUGUCAAACAUCCAGGGAGGAGGCAGCUUUGGCUCAGGUUGCACGCUGAUAACCUUGAGACAUGGGCAAGUGAGUACUUUUCUGAUCUUUGCCACCAGGGACUAAGAGUGUACAGGGUGUUCCUUCCAGACCAGGUGUGGCCACAGGACUGUGGGCCCAGUGGCUGGUGGGAGGGGUGGGGGUGUGUGCCUAUGCCCAGAUCCCUGGGGAUGCUAUCACUUAGGAAAGCUGCAUUCAGUUCUCCCUGGGGAGCAAGUUCCUAAUCUCGACUGUUCUAAUGAAAGCAAAGGCAUGAAAGCAAAACCUGGGGAGGCGUGUCACCUUUCUAUACCAUUUGACUUUUAAAAAAUACACACUGUUCCUUUUGUGGUUGGUCAAUUAACACAUUUCUCCAAAAGAUGUUAGGUUAACAAACUAACUUUUAAAAAAAUGCCAAGGACGCCCUAGCCCAGUGGUUUUUAACCUGUGGGUCGUGACCCCUUUGGGGGUCGAACGACCCUUUCAUAGGGGUUGCCUAAGACCAUC